Molecule: ribosomal RNA, 484 nt
Filed under: uncultured bacterium
Lineage: Bacteria
Description: partial 16S ribosomal RNA
Rfam family: Bacterial small subunit ribosomal RNA
Source: RNAcentral
AUUGAACGCUGGCGGCAGGCCUAACACAUGCAAGUCGAGCGGAUGAAGGGAGCUUGCUCCUGGAUUCAGCGGCGGACGGGUGAGUAAUGCCUAGGAACCUGCCUGGUAGUGGGGGAUAACGUCCGGAAACGGGCGCUAAUACCGCAUACGUCCUGAGGGAGAAAGUGGGGGAUCUUCGGACCUCACGCUAUCAGAUGAGCCUAGGUCGGAUUAGCUAGUUGGUGGGGUAAAGGCCUACCAAGGCGACGAUCCGUAACUGGUCUGAGAGGAUGAUCAGUCAAACUGGAACUGAGACACGGUCCAGACUCCUACGGGAGGCAGCAGUGGGGAAUAUUGGACAAGGGGCGAAAGCCUGAUCCAGCCAUGCCGCGUGUGUGAAGAAGGUCUUCGGAUUGUAAAGCACUUUAAGUUGGGAGGAAGGGCAGUAAGUUAAUACCUUGCUGUUUCGACGUUACCAACAGAAUAAGCACCGGCUAACUUCGUG